AUGCGGUGUUGUUACGUUGUUAGUAGGUCGCCUGCCAAGUUUCAUCACAUUCGGAGUUCGUUUGACGCCCCAACGGAUAACUAUAGCGGCAAUAGUCGUCGGUCUAUCGUCGGACGUUUUCGGUCUCCGAAACCUGUUGCCGGGUUUUCCCUCUCUUUCCUCCCUAGACCAUCUACACAGUCCAGUGCCUACCGCCAAGCCCAACCUAACCUCUCUCGUCAGCCCGCGGGCCUCCUCGGGCACGUGUCCGAAACUGUCCCGAACCCGACCCGGAUAGUCGUCACCGUUGGGUCCGGAUCAUCCCCAAACAUCUACAAAACAUCUUCGGUCUCGUAUUUGGACUCCCUAGCCUAUUCAUUCUCGUUCAUCGGAUUUCGAUUGGAUGAUCCAAACUCCCCUCUUUAUCACAUAUAUAGUCCAACCCUAACCCCUACUUGUCCCAUCCAUCCUCCUCGCCGCCGCCACCUCCUAGGCCUAUCAGGAUCUCACCCCAGCUUCUCCCUCCCUCAUUUCUUCCACCAAUCCAACCGCAUCUACACAAAUCAAAUCUUGUCUUCCUUGAUUUCUGUGCCAACCCAAUCACCCACAGCCUCGCUCGAUCCAGAUCGAGGGAAUCAUGGCUCCGACCACCUCCCUCGAUUUGCGCCACCGCCCAACCACUCCCUCCAACCAAUGCCUACCUCCUCGUCCCCGUGCCGCAGCAGUGGAGCAGGAGCCCUCGCGCCCGAACCUCACCGACUCUGCAGGCCGCGCCCUCCGGCGACUCCGCCGCCGGCGGCCACGACCAGGACCGGCCUCGUCCCGCUCCUCUCCUCCUCCUGUUUUUCCCUUUAUCUCUCUCUCUCUCAUGGUGGUCCUCUCUCUCUCCUUCCCAGGAACGAGCAGGAGCUCGCCCAAGCUCCAUGGCACCACCGCCGUCGUCCUGCUUCGUCCGGCGACCUCCGAGAAGUGCCACCCACCGGAUCUCCUCGAGCUCGCCUCGCCCCUAUGCCUAAGUCCCGCGUCGCCAAGCCGCCUCCCUUCCCUCGAGUCCGUCCAGCUCCGCCAUCCACCGUGGGCGUGGAGCUCGUCGGCGUCGUCCUCGUUGCCAUCCAAGCCCCGUCGCCGUUUGCCUCAUCGUCACCGGCUCCAGCCGCUUCUCCGGCAACCUCCAUCUCGGAGCUGCUGCCUCUGCCCGAGCUUCCUCGCCAUGCUCUGGCGUCCUCCGCCCGAGGACCAACGCUAUUGUAUCCUCCAUGGCGCUCGGCCUCUUGCAGCUUCUUCGGGCUUCGUCCGCGGCCUCACGCGCGCCGCUGUCCAGGAACCCCAGUGCCGCCCUGCUUUACCUCACCGUACCAAAAGAAACGAGCUCCAGGGACGCACGUCUCCGUGCAGCAUCGGCCGCCGCUGGGAGCCUCACCUCGCGCCGCCCGGGUUCUGCGUCCCCUGUCGGACCUCCCCUGCUUCGCCUUGGUCCGCCAUCGCUACCCUUUGUGCCACCCUGUGCCAGGCCCUAGCAGCCGCCAGCGACCUCUGCUCGCUCUGCAUCGAGCAGAGGAGCUAUCGUGA
Molecule: ribosomal RNA, 1548 nt
Filed under: Triticum aestivum (bread wheat)
Lineage: Eukaryota; Viridiplantae; Streptophyta; Magnoliopsida; Poales; Poaceae
Description: partial small subunit ribosomal RNA
Source: RNAcentral